Molecule: long non-coding RNA, 451 nt
Filed under: Bos taurus (domestic cattle)
Lineage: Eukaryota; Metazoa; Chordata; Mammalia; Artiodactyla; Bovidae
Description: long non-coding RNA NONBTAT016642
Source: RNAcentral
AACCAAGGUACUGAUAAACAGAGGUAGUGGUUUCAUUCCAGAGGCUGGAGCUCAGUGAGGCCAUUCUUAGAGAUUCUGCUUCUUAUAUCGCUCCUUUUAAUCUAUAGAAGGUAGAAAAUGAAUAUAUGUAACCAGACUCAACGAAUUUGUCAGUUAAAAUCUCAGUUCUAAGAUUUGUUAGUCAGUUUAUAUAGACUGCAUGAAUCUUCCUUAUUUUCUGUCAGAAUUAAUACCAAAAUGGUGUUCUUGAAUUUUUCUAUAUUUCUGUUUAUAGAGUAUAAAAUUCUAUAAACCAUACCAUGUUUUUUUUUAAAUAUAUAUCACUUGUUAGACAAGUGUUUAUCUUCAAGAUUCAUAUAUAGAAAUCAACUGCUAAUGGAGGGAGAAAAAAGGCAGCCGAAUUGGUUUAAAAUUUGACUAAAGCGGAAGUCACAGAACUGUUACCUAAAAG